Nothobranchius furzeri (turquoise killifish) is the source of this 2559-nucleotide long non-coding RNA. RefSeq lists it as uncharacterized. The record is from RefSeq and is a predicted model, not a curated record. NCBI's taxonomy places the organism in Eukaryota, Metazoa, Chordata, Actinopteri, Cyprinodontiformes, Nothobranchiidae.
CUCGCAGCCUUGGCUAACCCCAGUCUACGCUGGUCUUCUCCGGAGGGAUCUCCUGUGUGUGAAGGGGAGAGAGGAUGAGUAAAGUCCCGAUCAGGCCAUUGGACGGCACAGUCUCACGUGUCUGAAACGGAACACGCUGUGACGUCAGAGUACGCUGCGUUUAAAGCAGCCGCAUCGGUACCACGGCCGAACCCGCUGAUCUCAAAAAGGGGAGCGGAUACUUUCUCACCUGAGGGCUGGAGGACCCGUGAAAGCACCAGACACACUCUGACAAAGUGCUCAGGCCUGCAGGUCAGUGAUCGGUGUGUGAGCUCUCACCGCCUCAGAACACACUUGUGAUAUAAAUCACACGGGCUCUAGAGGGUUCAGGUAGCCGCACCGAAGAGAGCCUCUGCUCUCAGAGGAGCUGAAGCUGCGGCUUUAGAAGAGACGGCUGUCAUGAGCAAGACUUAGGACACCUCGUGUGGAUGGAAGAAGAACGAAUGUCAAAUGAAAGUGCAAGAAGAGCUUGUUUACUUUUAGUGCACAGCCUGAAUAUGACAUGUAUAUACAGUAUGUAUCAGACAUGGUUACAUUCUCCUACUUCUUGCCCCGCGCCUCUAGUUUAUCACACUACAUCAAAACAUUGGCAUAUUCCCUUGUGUGGCUUGUCUUUUUAUCUGCUCCACAGCUUCCCACGGCGGGCCGCAUCCACCUAUAAUCUACUGCCGUUUCAUGUCUGUAGCACCGAGGAAGAUAAGGGACUUGUUCAAAUGAAGAUCAAUGAGCUUUAUACACAGCAUCCCUGCAUCACAAGCGCCUGACUCCUUUUUCUUUUGUCUCCCUCUCAAGGUGCCAUCUGAUCUAAUAUUAAAGAACAUAAUAUAAGAAAUAUGGAGAAGCCAAACGGGGUUCCUGAAAGUUUGAAUAAUUACCGACAGUGCUGUUACUGAGCCACCUCUCGGAGGAGAGACAAUGAAAACAGUAAACAUGUUGCAUUAUAGAUUUGUCAAAAACACAUUUGGCAGUUUGUCACUAGUACCUUGUUAUUUAAGUCAGUGCCAAGUGUCUGCGGCAGUGAAAUCAAAGCAGACUGAUGUAUUGGCAGCAAUAGAUGGAGCGUGAAACUGUGUCAGAGAAGUAAGGGAAAUCCCCUGCGACUGUUUUCCUUUCACUCCACAUCUGGCUGACGAAAUCUGUAAGGACUAAUUGUGUCUGAGUUGGAGGCUGAAGAAACUCUUAUUUAGUACAUUUUUACUUUAGUUUCCAUCAAUGUGCGUUCCCACCCGAGUGGCACGAGCUCACACAAGACCAAAGAAAUCAUCGACUGAGCCUAAAGUCAGCCCAGACUACCUCUGGCUGUUCAGGAACAAAUACAGAAAAGCUGAAUCAAAAAUAGUUUUGCUAAAAAAACACAGAGAAAGGGGAUAGAAUGACACCAAGAUAAAUACAUUAAAGUGCAAAGGGAGGAAAACUUUGCAUUUUGAGCGACUGAUCAAAGUUGUUCCCACAGGAAAUCUCCUUUAAUGAGAUCUAUACAAGAAAAGAAGGGAGGAAGACAAGAAAAGGAGGUACCAUUCCUACACAGAGGAGAGGGAUGAAUCAUCUAGGAUGCCUGGUGUGUAUUGGGUGAGGAGGUGGCGGUGGGGUGCUUUUCAAGAUCGUUUUAACGUCUUCACUGUGGGAGCGUCAGAGGCAAGGCCAGGUUAAUUAAACCCACGGGAGGAGCAGCUGAGGAGGGUGGGGAGCACAUUUGAAUAUGUCACAGAAAUAGCACGAGUGUGUCAGCCAAGGCCGGAUGGCGGAGCACGGCGAGCAAAUAUGUUGACUAUGCAUUAAAGGGAGGAGAGAGAAAAACAGACUGUCAGAAGGAAAAAGGUGGGAGUUGUGGGGAGGUAGGUACUGAUAAUCUGCUCUUCGCGUGCCACCGGAUUCCUCUGCGUUAUUAAUGUUUGUCAUUAGCAGCUUUGCGCUGGAGGACAGUGACUAGAGAGAAAGAAAAAAGUGCUGAAGAAAUUUAUUUGGGACAAAUAUUGACAAUAGCUGGCUCCUGGGUACGAGAGAAGAAAAGAUGCAAACUAUGUUAAUGAAUGGUAAUUAACCACUGGGGUUCGGCUCUUCUGAAUCACAGCUAAAUUGGUCCCUGAGUUGCAGCUAGAGACAGUCCUGGCCUAAUCCUUUAUUAUAAAAAGAUAAAGGAAAACGACAUAAUUAGCAUAUAUUUGUGAAGGGAAGGGGGGGGGGGGGGGAUUAGAAAGUGGAAUUAUUUCUUUUUAAUUCCUGAACGGAGGAUUUCUCACACAUUUUUAAAAUUAAACAUGGUAAUAAAAGAAAGUGUUAAAGGAGAAAACAAAGCUGAGAAAAGUAAAGAGGUGAGCUGAAAGGAGGAGAGCUGGGGCUCCUGUGUGGGAAGCCAACUCAAGGACGGAGGAUACCAGGAUCAUGAUUACAUAUUCAAAAUGAAUAAUAAGAGAGGUAGGAAGAAAGGAACAGAUAAAAGGAACGGGAAGCAGCUCUCCUCUAAUAACACCCUGCUCCGCAUGCGUGUGUUCAUCCUGACUGUUAUUAAUGACGUCAGCA